Numida meleagris (helmeted guineafowl) is the source of this 7537-nucleotide long non-coding RNA. RefSeq lists it as uncharacterized. The transcript has 3 exons. NCBI's taxonomy places the organism in Eukaryota, Metazoa, Chordata, Aves, Galliformes, Numididae. The record is from RefSeq and is a predicted model, not a curated record.
CUGUGGUUGGAGUGGUGGUAAUUGUCUGUCCGCCGACGCCAGAGUUUAUAGGCAGCGGACGCUCUUGUUGCUCUGUUUUCGUAGCAACUCUGUGAACUUGCUUUUACUGUGUUUUUAAUUGGUGGUGGUUUCACCCUGAUGGCAGCUGAAGUCCACUGCAGCCACACUCACCCCUCAUCCUCGCAGGAAGAGAGGGAAAAAAUAUGAUGGAAAAGGGCUCAAGGGCUGAGAUAAGGACGGGGAAAUCACUCACCAGUUAUCGUCACAGGCAAAACAGACUCAAUAUAGAGAGGUUAAUAUAAUUUAUUGUCUAUUGAUAAAAGACCAGAGCAGUAGGAACUAAAGGCAAAGUAAACCACCUUCCUUUUAUCCACCCUCUGCUACCUCCUGUCAGCCGGUGGCAGCUCCCCCAGCCCUCCUGCCCACUGUGGGGCCCUCUCCACGGCCUGCAGCUCCGGCCCAGGCCGCUCCUGUGGGGGUAUCCAUGGGCCAUGCCUCCUCCAAGCCUCAUCCACUGCUGCCACGUGGGCUCCUUCACGGCUGCACGGGGAAAUCUGCUCCGUGCGGUGCCCGUGGGCUGCAGGGGAAGGGCCUGCUCCUCCAUGGACCUCCCCUGGGCUGCACGGAGCUGCUGCUCCAGCCUGGAGCACCUCCUGCAGGAAUGCUGAUGCUGUGGGCAGGACUGUGAGUGCCUUGGACCUGCUCCUGAGCUCCCCAGGGAUGAGAACCCUGCUGCCACCUUAGGCCAUCCUGUCUUGCAGGAUGUCAACAGCUCUGCCUUGUAAGUUACGUGGCUGCUGAUUCAUUCAGUAUCCACAGUUAUGGCAGGAGUGCAUCAAAGGAGAGAAAAGAAGGAGCUUUGUAAUAACAGACUGGGCAGUGAGCUAUUACUGAAGAGCUAAAAAUGUGAUUAAAUUAUGGAAAUGUCUCACAAAAAUAUUUACUGAAGUAGCAAAGCUACAUUUCAGACGCAGCAGGACUGAACUGAACUCAUCAGUGCCCAACAACAGACAAGUUCUCUGUUUGUGUCAAUAUUGAAUGAAUGGCCGUUGGCUCCCUGAGCAUCCACUGGUUCCAGUCCUGAUUGCAGAUGUGCAGUUUGAUGCCAGCACAGCCAGCACCCAACUGGUGCUCUGCGACCAACUCUGCUGCAGGCUGAGACCGUGCCAAGCACCCACUGAGCAGAAUGCAAAGGUGCUGUAGGUAGAUUUGUUUUCACUUGUGUAGCACGUCCUGCAUAGCUGGAGUGCAUUGCUCCUCCUGAGGACUUGCUUCUUAGCAGCCAAAGACUGGCUGUGGCUCAUUAGAUGUGCUGUGUGUACUGCAGUGCACAACUAAUUUAUCUUACAUUUUCAUGCUUCUAAGAGUGCUUUCCUGGAACUGUAGAUGUUGAUGAACCAAAAUGUGUUCAUUUUGUAUCAACCCAAAAUAUCAAAUUGAUAUUGACUUAGAUGUGUGAAUCCACACUGGGAGAAAGUAGAAGGAAGGCUGAGUGUGGCAGGAUUGUAAUUCACUUGUGUAGAAAAAACCACCUAAUUUCCCAGCUUUGCAUACUCUGAAAUAGAGUUACCAAUCACAGGAGAGAGAGAAAUUCAAUCAUAAACUAAUCAAAUGUAAUGUGCUCGUGCUAUUAAAUAUACACUCUUCUCCUGCCGUGAGAUUUAAGGUUCUACAUUAUUAAAGGGCACAGAGAGGCUGUGCAGAAGUGGAAGGAGACCAUUCAGUUGUCUGCUUUGUUACAGUGAAAUAAAUAUUCAUAGUCAAAAUUGGCCCUUAAGGAAGACAGCAUUACCUGUACCCUGACACUUCCAUGGGCUGCUGUCCAUCCUUCAGUCAGCAGAAUUCCCUCAGAAUUCCCCUUGUCCUUCCCAUUCCACUCCUGCUCCGCUGUGUGAUGGUGAUGGGCUGACGGUUGGAGCUGAUGAUCUUAGUGGCCUUUUCCAACCUUAGUGAUUCUGUGACUGCCCCGUGUGAUGAGGGCUCAGCUGGGGUCCGCUUGUGCCGCGUGCGAGAGGGACAUCGUGCAGUCACUAGCAAAAGUGUGUCAAUUUGAUCAGCAUUUUGCAGGUAGAUGUUGUGGCCUCUCCCAAAGUGCAGCGCAGGAGGUAAGGCUGUAUUUGGCUGCUCUGAAAUGCAUUUAAAACGGGAGGAUUUAAAAACACAUGUAAAAGGGAACGGUGUGAUCAGUGGAGUAAUUCUGGGGUAACGUGAUUUUCGGUGUCUGUAAAGUGUGAACACUGUGUAUUGCAAAAUUUGGAGUGCAAAAUGCCUACAUCUGUUUGAUGAGUUGCAGCACGGGGGAAUUAGAAACCUUGCCAGUUCAGAAAGAGGCAAAUGGGUCUGUCAGCACCUGGGGAAAUAUGGACAGCAGCUGGGAGAGUAGUAUAAAUGUAUUAGCAAAUGUUUCUGCAAAACAUUCGUAAGUGUUUCUGCAAAAGCAAUCAGCAGUGUUGUUUUUCAUACUGCUGAGAUUUAAGGAACCGUUCCCGUGGUUUCCAGGUUUACACGUCCAGCAGUGCCUGGUGACCGCACUGCAUGUAGCCCCAGCUGGAGCCAGCUCAACUCCCCUUGGCUCUCACAGCUUCCCCGGCUGCAUGUGCAGGAAGCAAAUCAACAGCAAUGUGUCUGGGUGCCCUUCAGGGUGCAGGAGGUUAUCAGCACUGGGAGAACAUACUCAAGCAGGCUUCACUGUACUCAUUAGAGAUGCCUUAAAUUCUGUCAGCUUUUGAAAUAAUUGAAGAGGAAAAUGAAACUGAUGACUCGGGAAAUGUUUGCGUCAAAGCAGAUAUAAGAGACCCAGUGGGAUUUCUGUAGCUGUUUGUCAGCAUUGCCUCUUAGUGUCCCUGAAAAAGCCUCAAAGAGUGUAUUUACUUAGGGCAUACCAGUUUUUAGCCUGUUGAUGCUCAAAGAGCUCGCGAUAAAACUAGACACAGAUUUCCUUGGUAUUUCUCUCAGCAGUCUCCUUGGUGUCAGCUGGUUCGGGGCAGACUUUAUCAGUCAGCCAAGGGAGUAUGUGAAGAGAAGGACAGAGCAGAAACCCCCAUGUGUAUAAGAUGGUGGGGGUAUUUGAUGCAUCUCUACGAACUGAUGAAGCUAUCGCAAAACCAAGAUGGAAGCACUUUAAAAAGACUAAGGAAAACAGCCUGACAGGACUCAAGCGCAACUUUGUCUUUUAUGGAUACCCUUAUGGUUUUAGGUAUGAUGUGCAGGUCUGAAUUUAUGGGGGGAAGACACACUCUGGAGAGUACACUGAGUUAUUAAAAAGUGCUUCAGCUCUGCACUGCAGAGCAACCAUCUCCAUCAACAGGUUAUUAUCUUCUAUGGAUAAAAAUACACUAUAGCUCUGCUUUUUUAAACAGCAAAGGAGCUUUUUUUUUCUUUGCAAGUCAGUUUGUUUUGAAUGACAUUGAGUUUCCAGCUUUUCAGGGAGGUAAUACUAAACAGUGAGCUUUGUUUUUCCAUCUGUAGCACCUGAAGGCACUGGGCAGGGAGAAGCACUGCGGUUUUACACCUUUGUGUCUGGAAGUGAUAAAACGGGAUGAGAGGAUUACCCAGUUUGUCUUUCUCAGUCUUCUCUUAUCACAGCAGCCUCAGCAACUCUGCUAUUUGAAGAAAAAUAGAGUAACAAAAGAACAGUUUCAUCUUCUAACUUGCUAAUACAAUGCUAUCAGCUGCUGGUAUUUUUGAAUUAUGGGUUUUAUGUGAUCCUACACUUGAUUAGAUUUUUUUCUUUCUUAAAAUGGAAAACGUUCUAGAACUGAAGGAAGAAGCUAUAAAUACACAAUGACAUGGUGCUUAAAGAAGGCCUUAGACGUGUUAAGAACAGGGCCCUGCGUGCCAUGAAAAUUAGGAACUCCUGAAUUCUCACAGUUGUGACAUUCUUUCCUUAAUGUCGGUGUCUCAAAGCUAUUUGCAAGGUACUGGGGUCUGGGGCAGAAGUGUGGAGACAUCAGCACCUGGGUGCUGGGUGUUGAGGAGGGACAGACACUGUCUUUCCUUCUCACUGCCUCUGCUCGCAGCAGGACGAAGUGCUGGCUGCUGUAGCUGUGGACGUUCUAACUUGGUGCAGUCGUUAACGUGUUGCUAAUGAAAGAGCAGCUUGCUAGCUAGCAACCCUGCAAAGCAUCUGAGUGGUCUAGGUCUCUGCUUGUCAGGCUACAGAACGCAGGGAUUCUGAUUUACAUUAGCUUGCCUCCUGCUCUGCAAAAAGACGACGUGCAGUUCUCAUCUCACCAAGAUCUGCCAUUUACUUACCGGUAUGUUACCUCGGAGAACUUAUUGUGCAGGGAAACAUUGGAACAGGAAGAGAAUUAAUGUCUCUGCUGACUGAUUAAAUAAUCAGUGCACAGAAACAGGGCGCUAAUGAAGUAUAAGAGGAGACUGAGAUUUGGUUUCUGUCCCUGUCUGUUCUGUUACGCUGCAGUGUGAAGGUGCUGACCAAACAGAGUGCUCCAGCUUGCCUUCUGUUAUUUGGAAUAGAUUGGGUAAGCCUUCACCUCAAAGUCUUCGUCAGAGAAUGUCAGAGCUGGCAAAGCUGGGAAGAUCUUUGGGGCAGAAACGAGAGAUAACAAGAGAUUGUUCCCAGGACUUUCUAUUUCACAUUUCUCUUGGGGUCAGGUGGAACUGGGGAUAAUACCCUCAAAGGAUAAACAAUGUCAUUUUUAUAAAUAUAAAUUAGAAUCAAAACUGUGCAGGGAUGGUGUGGUCUUCAGAAAAGCUAUAGGUGGCAGCAUCAUAGUAAAACAGUUUCCUCGGUGUCUGUGGCUAAACAGAGACUACGUGUGUCAGGAACAAAUGCACAAAAGAGCACGAAUGAAAAAGAGCAGAUGAGAAACUUGUUGGAGCUGAUCACCAGUUAAGCCAGCCAGUUAAAAAGGUCAGUCAUUCCUCUAAAUCUGUGUGUUCUCAGCUCCCUGAGCACGAAUGAACAUGCAGAUGGGCAGAAUUCCCUCCUUCUCGCUGCCUUGCUCAGUCAUUCGGGGCAGCAGUGGUAGCUGGGUUUUGCUAGCUCUGGCAUAUCCUCCAGGCAUGCAGAAGGAAACGCUGUCCUUAGCAGCAGUACUCUUCCAGCAGCUGGAAAGGGAGCUUUUAAAGAAAGGCAAGUGUGCUUGAGUGAGGAGAAUGGGACUGUUGUGAAUCCACACAAGUGGCUCCUGACCACUGACUUUCAGAGAGAUGUGCUGGCGCUUCCUGACAACAGAGCCUGUUUGGGCAUCUUAAAUUUGGCUUCCAAAAGUGAAUGCACCUGAGUUACCUUUGAAAAAAACACAGCGGGCCUUGUUACAGUAAGAAGAAAAACAUUUUUUAUUUCAAUCCCUCCUGCUUUCUAUCAGGGUUUCUGAAAACAGUGAAUGUGGCAUAUUAACUUGUACAAUCUAUCAUUUUUUUCCAGUGUGCUAAUUUCUUUAUAGCAGAAAUGAGACAUUCUUAUUUUCACAGCCCAGAGAGGACUUUAAGGCCCUGAAAUGGCAGGGCACAGAUUCAUUUUCUGUCUCGUGCAGAUGUAUCCCUCCAAAAUUACUUAGCCCCAAAUUAUGUAAGUAAUGCAGUGUGUGGUUCAUAGGUUUCUUGUUUCUCGCAAGCUCGCUUUGCAAGGAGAUGUUUUCCAAUGUACUGCUCUCCAGCAUUCACAUCCCAUAUGUACUUACCUCAAAGGUUAUUUGAUUCAAAAUAAUGGGAACUAUGGUAGACAAUACAUGUGAAAUUUUUAUCUUACAGCCUAGCUCCUUUUCACAUCUCUCUUUAAGUGAGAUGAAAGAAGGAAGAAAGGAUGCUGCAGCUGACUGUGAAGUCGGCUUAUCUAACUGAACAAAUUGAUAAAGAGCGUUGUGAUUCUUUACCAGUUUAGUUUCUUAUAAAAAAAGUGAAGUGUUAAAUAUCUAUUGAUGUUUUAAAUUGACCGGACAGAUUAGAGUUCUGCAUAACACGGAUCUGUGAGAGGAUGCUGGUGAAGAAGUAAAGUCACUGUGAAAAAUAUUUGCGCUUUCUUUUGACUCUGCUUCUCUUUUGCUUCCUCAGAAGCCCUUUCACAGUUAACUUAAUACUUUGCUGUUUCUGCCUGUCUUUCAUCGGAUGCUAUCAGGCACUGCUGCAGUUUACCAUCGCAGCUUCCAUGGAAGUUCCACUUAUUUGCUCAAAGAUAGAUUUGAAGCCAGAUCUCAAAGCUGAACAUGCAGGUAUUACUUAUUUAAUUGGGAGAAGGAGGAAAAGGCUGGUAGCAUUAUUUUUGUAUUUUUCUUCCUGAAGCCAGCAAAAUGGAUUAGAGACAUUGUAUUUGGCUGUCUAGGGAUAAUAGUCAUGUCUCUUGUACAGAAGUUUUUAACAUCUUCAGGAAUAUGAUUCCUAUUAGCUGCAACAGGACUGGGGCGCUCAACCUUCUGAAGAUCUCACUGUACAUCUUACUGGUCAGUGUUUCCUCUUCAGUGCAAGAGGUGCUGACUGCCAUCUCUCUCUUUAAGUGUUUAAUGUCUCUGAAAACUUGACUCUCCAGAACUACAUCUGAACACUGGAAGGUCAGAGGACUUCUGCAUUUCUGAGCACUGGAUGUGCUGCAGCAGUACUACAGCUCUGAGUAAUAUCUGUGUGUGUUAUUUUUACCCUCUUUCCCUACUUAGCUUUCAUGAAGAGGAAGCUGCAGACAUGCCCCCAGAUCUGAAUGGUGUGAGAAACGGGACAUGGAUGAUAAACCUGUGCUCCCAACAAGAGCAUCCCUGGCACUGGAGCCUGCAUUUGGACUAGAGUGAGAUUGUUGGGACCUCAGACUGCUAAGGCAGUCCUGCCCACGGUCCUGGAGUUAGAUGGGCUGCUGGUGGUUUGCAGCAAACACUUGGGAUGUGGUCACCCUCUUCCAAGGACCAAGAGAGCAGAACAGUCCAGUUUGAAGCCAUUGGCUUCAGCGUCAUCGUGCAGCCCUGACAGCAUUUGCUUUACAAGAGCAGAUACAGCCUGAGGCACGCUGCAAGAGUGCUUGAUAUGGGCUGGAGUGUAUCAGUUGUACCAAACAAAGUGAUUUUGUCAUUGCCCCGAGAGACGCUGUAGAUGAGGAUUUUGUUAUAUUGGAGGGGAGGGGAAAUCACUUUGUCUGUUUCAGUAGUUUUUUUAUAGCACAGUUCUACUUUCCGUGCCAGGCUGUGAUGUAUUUUUGUAGUACUGUAUGAAUGAUUUGUGUUUGAUCCCACAGUGAGAGAGAGCACUUGCAGUCAGCAGAGCAGGAGAGGUCAUUUAUAUGUUGCUAUGAAAGGCAGCAGGAGCAAAUGCCGAGCUUCCCACUGUCAGGCUGACACUUCUCCUGGCACGUCUGAGGCAGAGAAACAGCUGAUUGAUGUUGAGAAAUCAUGGCACGUACUGCCAUCAGCUGAGAAGGGCAAGGAAAUUGAGAAAAUCUGAUCUUCUCUUUACUGAACAGAACUUCACAGCCUGAAAUUUAUCAAUGGAAAGAUGAUAGGAGAAGAAGACAGACAUUGCUUUCCCAGGCACAAGCUGAAAUCAUCAGCACGUAAUAAUAUAAUGCUGCAUAACUGAUAUUCCAGGAUCUCAG